UAGGGAAUCUUCGGCAAUGGGGGGAACCCUGACCGAGCAACGCCGCGUGAGUGAAGAAGGUUUUCGGAUCGUAAAGCUCUGUUGUUAAGGAAGAACGAGUGUGAGAAUGGAAAGUUCAUACUGUGACGGUACUUAACCAGAAAGGGACGGCUAACUACGUGCCAGCAGCCGCGGUAAUACGUAGGUCCCGAGCGUUGUCCGGAUUUAUUGGGCGUAAAGCGAGCGCAGGCGGUUAGAUAAGUCUGAAGUUAAAGGCAGUGGCUCAACCAUUGUAGGCUUUGGAAACUGUUUAACUUGAGUGCAGAAGGGGAGAGUGGAAUUCCAUGUGUAGCGGUGAAAUGCGUAGAUAUAUGGAGGAACACCGGUGGCAAAAGCGGCUCUCUGGUCUGUAACUGACGCUGAGGCUCGAAAGCGUGGGGAGCGAACAGG
This 429-nucleotide ribosomal RNA is filed under the name Bacteroidota bacterium. RNAcentral's name for it is "Bacteroidetes bacterium partial 16S ribosomal RNA". It matches the Rfam family "Bacterial small subunit ribosomal RNA", at positions 355 to 776 of the family's 1533-position model. Lineage: Bacteria; Pseudomonadati; Bacteroidota. The record is from RNAcentral.